Molecule: long non-coding RNA, 420 nt
Organism: Selaginella moellendorffii
Lineage: Eukaryota; Viridiplantae; Streptophyta; Lycopodiopsida; Selaginellales; Selaginellaceae
Exons: 2
Source: RefSeq, a predicted model, not a curated record
UCCACAAGAGAAGAUCAUCUUAAACUUCUAAGCGCAAAAUGUAACUUCGCUUUACUGUUUUUUCCUUCUAGUGGUUCGGUCCUAUGAUGCAUAAUUUAGUAAUCUCACUGCGCUGCCCGUUGACGUUGCACGUCGUUGCUCCCGGUCUUGGAACCGGUUGGAGCAGUGCUCGUGUAACUAGAAUACGGACCAGUCGUAUGAGGAAUUGGCGUGGCUGAAGGACAUGUUUUUGAUUCACGAUUCCCUGGUUGACUUCUCCCUCUUUGCAGAUACAGAGUUCUUAACUGGAGCGAGACAAUUCAUUACCUGACAAGGUAGCAGCACGAAAUAAGGCUCGAAAGCUUUGUACUAUAGUUCUCUCACUGUGACGAAUCAAACCACAGCGGCUUGAUAAAAAUCUUUGGUGAAUCGGAGUCUGGG